UUGCUUCCAGCACUUCCAACAACAUAGCAACCUAACAAUUUUGCAAACUGGCCAACAAGAUGACCUACAGCACCAGAAGCUGCUGAAACGAAGACAAACUCCCCUUUCUUAGGAGAGCAUAUCUCAUAAAAACCACCGUAAGCAGUCAGACCAGGCAUACCAAGAAUUCCAAGAUAACAAGAAGGGGGCACAUCUCUGUCAUGAAUUUUAAAUAGAGUCUCUGUUGCUGUUAUGAGACUGUACUCUUCCCAUCCAGUCAUUCCCCACACUAAGUCAUCGUUCUUGAAGUCUGGAUGACUUGAAUCCACAACUUUGGCCACUCCACGCCCAGUUAUAGGCGAACCAGGGUUGAAGGGUGCGAAAUAUGAGCCCUGGCCCUUUCUCAUCCGGAUUCUCAUGUAGGGAUCGCAAGACAAGUAGAGAUUCUUGACAAGAACCCCCUUUGUAUCAGUCGGGACCUUGAGUUUGAUGGUAGCAGUGGUGAUAUACAUGUCUGAUUCUUGAAGGGUACCAGGCACGUAGUCCUUGAAAAUCACCUGCUUGUUACUCACUACUUCACCAUCAUCACUCUCCAUUGUUUGGUUCAAUAGCUCUGUGUGAACAGAACACAGCAAAGGAAAUGUAAACGAAAGGAAAACGAAAGGCUACAGACAAAGAGAGCCUUUACGUCAUAUAAUAUAG
Molecule: unclassified non-coding RNA, 681 nt
Filed under: Hevea brasiliensis (rubber tree)
Lineage: Eukaryota; Viridiplantae; Streptophyta; Magnoliopsida; Malpighiales; Euphorbiaceae
Source: RNAcentral